UUUUACGUUUAUAUUCUACUGAAUCCACCGAAUCCCGUUCGAACUUCGAAGUGAAUCAGUUGCGAGGUAUCUUAGUACUUGGAUGGGAGACCUCCUGGAAACCGUUAGUGACGUAAAUU
This 119-nucleotide ribosomal RNA is filed under the name Strongyloides venezuelensis. Lineage: Eukaryota; Metazoa; Nematoda; Chromadorea; Rhabditida; Strongyloididae. The record is from RNAcentral.